AAAGUGCACGCGCUUUGGGACA
RNAcentral lists this microRNA (22 nucleotides) under Canis lupus familiaris (dog). RNAcentral describes it as "Cfa-Mir-350_5p* (star (passenger))". Lineage: Eukaryota; Metazoa; Chordata; Mammalia; Carnivora; Canidae. RNAcentral also lists the same sequence under 3 other names. The record is from RNAcentral.